RNAcentral lists this unclassified non-coding RNA (224 nucleotides) under Hevea brasiliensis (rubber tree). Lineage: Eukaryota; Viridiplantae; Streptophyta; Magnoliopsida; Malpighiales; Euphorbiaceae. The record is from RNAcentral.
GGGAAAUUCGCAUCCGGUACAGGGAUGUCGUCGAUCAAACCAUAAUCAAACAACCAAUUGGGAUUUUCGGGGGAUACCAUUUCUCAAACAAUUAUUGAAAAAAAAGAGGAAAAAAACCGUGGGAUCGCCGGAAAAUAUUCAAAAUUUCCGGCCAGAAUAAUGGGAAGAAACAGGGAAUGAUAAUUGAAGAGAAAUUAGAGGAGGAGAGUUAGGGUUAGGGCUGG